Molecule: non-coding RNA, 987 nt
Organism: Cyanistes caeruleus (blue tit)
Lineage: Eukaryota; Metazoa; Chordata; Aves; Passeriformes; Paridae
Source: RefSeq, a predicted model, not a curated record
GAAAAUGUCUGGAGAGAGGAAAAUAUUGCAUUAUCUCUGCACAUUUUAUUGUCAUCUUCAAGAAUGACUCUGAAGGAAGAAUGACUCAUUUUGGAAACAGAGAACGUAAUGAAAUAUCCAUGAAAGGUCUGAAACUGGAUGGUUACAGUGACUGUUAUAAAUAGGUUUCCACAAGCUAAAUAAGGGAAUUUGGUGAAAUGUCCAGGUGCUGAUUUGGGCAAGUCAUUAAAUAUGUUGGGAGAUGGGAUUGCCUGAGUUUGAGCUACAGGAAUACUUAAGAAUUCUUAAAUCACAACAAGUAUUACAGUGUGGUCCUUAUUUUGGUUUCCAUUACCUCUCCUGCAUCUCUUCUUUCUCCUUGUGCAUUGCAGAGUAGUAGAAAUGUCUACGGCUACUGUACUUUAAUGCUUGAUUAAAGCAAAUUAUACCAGAGGAGCAGUCAGAAGAAUGCUUUCAUAAUCUAGCAAAAUAUUCUCAGGAAGAGAAAAAAGCAAUCCCUGCGAAAUGACUAUUUCUAAAAAAAGGAACAACUUAUUAGACUUGAAUGGUUCUUCUCAAAGAUGAGCCAGUCAUGGAGCUCAUCCAUCAUUUCCAUCGACAUCAUGGCAACAGGAGCUGUGGAAAGAAAUGCUCAAGGACGAGUUUUCUGAUCUUUCCCUGUGGCUUGGUGCCAGUAACCCAGCUAUUAGUUUCUACACCGAAUUUAAGAGCUGAAUCACAAGCCUAAUGACUCCAGAACAGCCAUCAACACCUCAAGAAAAACCUCUGUGUUCUUUGUUUUAUUACUUCAUUUCCAAGGUGCUGGUAACAAAGGACUAUUUGUUUUCCAGGAGCAGCGAGAUGAUGGUUUGUAUUUACCUCUCUGAAACCAACAUCCACUCAGUGCCUGUCACAGAAACAACUUCUGAAAAGAAGCUGCUGUAACAGAAAUAUUCAUCUUUUUUAAUUUGCUUCAGCUAAUAAAUCAGAUAUGUGCAAAGCCUCGAA